This 47-nucleotide ribosomal RNA is filed under the name Diederichomyces caloplacae. RNAcentral's name for it is "partial 28S ribosomal RNA". Lineage: Eukaryota; Fungi; Ascomycota; Dothideomycetes; Pleosporales; Phaeosphaeriaceae. The record is from RNAcentral.
CUCGGAUCAGGUAGGGAUACCCGCUGAACUUAAGCAUAUUCAAUAAG